UACGAAGGGGGCUAGCGUUGUUCGGAAUUACUGGGCGUAAAGCGCGCGCAGGCGGUUCUUCAAGUCAGUGGUGAAAGCCCGGAGCUCAACUCCGGAACUGCCAUUGAAACUGUAGAACUGUAGGAUGAGAGAGGUGAGUGGAAUUCCCAGUGUAGAGGUGAAAUUCGUAGAUAUUGGGAAGAACACCGGUGGCGAAGGCGGCUCACUGGCUCAUUUCUGACGCUCAGGCGCGACAGCGUGGGGAUCAAACAGG
Molecule: ribosomal RNA, 253 nt
Filed under: uncultured bacterium
Lineage: Bacteria
Description: partial 16S ribosomal RNA
Rfam family: Bacterial small subunit ribosomal RNA
Source: RNAcentral